GCACUGCUGACGAGUCUCAAACAGGAGGAAACAGCGGUGCAGUGC
This 45-nucleotide non-coding RNA is filed under the name Echinostoma caproni. The record is from RNAcentral. Lineage: Eukaryota; Metazoa; Platyhelminthes; Trematoda; Plagiorchiida; Echinostomatidae.